Malus domestica (apple) is the source of this 1639-nucleotide non-coding RNA. The record is from RefSeq and is a predicted model, not a curated record. NCBI's taxonomy places the organism in Eukaryota, Viridiplantae, Streptophyta, Magnoliopsida, Rosales, Rosaceae.
CGUUUUCCAAUUGUUUGUAGAACCAAAUAAUGAUUGCUGACGUGACGCGCAGUAUAUAAGAUACCUUCUCCUCCCGGUUCUCCUAAAAACAGAAGCUCCUCCGUCCUCCGUCCUUCGACCUCCGUCCUUCGACCUCCGUCCUCCGUCUCUCUCACAAUCACAGACACAGACACAGCAAAAAAUGGAAGCUAAGAAGCCAUGGAUAAACGCUUUCAGAGCAAAAUCAAAGCAAGCCACGCUGCUUUGGCUCGAGGGCUUCCGAGAGGCCUGCUGCCUUCACCGCGUUCUCAUCCUCUGCCACCGGUCGAGAAAGCUUAUGAUUCGAACAGGACAGUGUUUUCUAUUAAACGGCUUCAUUUUCUUAGGAAGUAUAAUUAUCCUUAACUCAGUCAUCAUCCCAACUCUACACUGGAUAUUACCUGAUAGAUGCCCAGAAUAUAGUUCUCAAGAACUCUGCUCAUUUGGUGGUAUAUUGAAAUUUUAUUCCUUCUUGCGGCAGGGACUUGUACAACUCUUUUAUGUAACUUGGUUCUACCCGCUAUACGUAUUCAGCAUUAUCCUGAGCAACAUCUGGUACAACGACAUUGCUAAGUAUGGAUUUUCUUCAAUGGGGAGGUCCGCGCCAACCACAUUGGAUCCUGUCAGACAAAAUGAGGCAUUGGUCUUACAAAAUAUUGUUGGUCCGGAAAGACCUGCUGGCCUGGGAGGGGUCAUAAUUGGCAUAGGAGAGCAGGUGUAUUCAGUACUUCUUUUGAGUUGUUUCUUCCUAGAGGUAUAUGUGACAGGAUUUAUACCGUAUGUUGGGAUGGCACUAAAUUUUCUGCUUCUGUCCUGGAUGUAUGCUUAUUACUGUUUCGAGUACAAAUGGAAUUUUUCUGAAGUUCGUCUUGAAAAACGGCUGGAUUUCUUUGAAUCUAACUGGGCUUUUUUUGCUGGUUUUGGUAAAUAUAUUUCCAUUCUGGGAGCCCUUGCGUUCUGCCUAUACUCUUUUUCUCACCUCUUGUGAGCUACGGAUUUAUGGCAAUUCUCUUUCCAUUGUUUGUUUUGACAGCAACGGGCUCAGAGGCUGAGCAAGUUAUUUCUUCUCAAAGGACAAAAUGGGAAGGUGCUGGGUUGGGAAAGCUUCCAAUAUUUAAUGCUGCAGAUAACCUAUCGAUGCGGGUUUUGUCUCUGUUUCCCCUGGAAUCCCAGGAGUUACUUCAGAAAAAGAAAGAUCGCUAAAGUUUGGCUUAGUGUUUACGCAAUUGUAAAAAAGUAAGUCAACUUUUUUCUCUUUGGCCGUAAGGUUUCUAUUGUGCUCCCAUUCAAUCAACAAAGUUGUAGAUGUGUUGCGUUGCGUUGCAGUCUUUAUCUGAUUGAUAUGAUAAUAAUUUCUUAAUUUAAAUGCAAUGGUUCAAGAUAGGGCGUCAUCGGAAGGGUUUCAUGGUUCCAUUCUGUAUAUUGUACAUAGAAACUAGGUGUUGAUCAAACUUUAUCAAAUGUAUAGAAAUAGUAUUUCAUCAAAGACCGAUUUCAUGGGUCAAAUUUCAUGAGCAUAUCGUGUUGCAACGCCAUGUUCGUUUGCAAUUCGGUUAGAUUUCACCCGUUGUUAUGGAACUUUCAUAUGCAAUGCCAUGUUCGUUUUUCGGUUCCUCAGUUA